This 414-nucleotide ribosomal RNA is filed under the name uncultured Singulisphaera sp. RNAcentral's name for it is "bacterial SSU rRNA". It matches the Rfam family "Bacterial small subunit ribosomal RNA", at positions 355 to 774 of the family's 1533-position model. The record is from RNAcentral. Lineage: Bacteria; Pseudomonadati; Planctomycetota; Planctomycetia; Isosphaerales; Isosphaeraceae.
UCGAGAAUCUUCGGCAAUGGGCGCAAGCCUGACCGAGCGACGCCGCGUGGAGGAUGAAGGCCUUCGGGUUGUAAACUCCUGUCGAGGGGGAAAAAGGGUCGUAAGACCUUGAUUGAUCCCUGGAGGAAGCACGGGCUAAGUUCGUGCCAGCAGCCGCGGUAAGACGAACCGUGCGAACGUUAUUCGGAAUCAUUGGGCUUAAAGCGCGUGUAGGCGGAUUCGUGCGUCUGUCGUUGAAAUCCCCCGGCUCAACCGGGGAAGUGGCGCGGAUACGACGAGUCUGGAGGGGCAUAGGGGGACCUGGAACUUCCGGUGGAGCGGUGAAAUGCGUUGAGAUCGGAAGGAACGCCCGUGGCGAAAGCGAGGUCCUGGAUGCCUACUGACGCUGAGACGCGAAAGCCAGGGGAGCGAACG